GUGUUGUAUGAAAAGGAGAGAAGGUUAGCACUCCCCUUGACAAGGAUGAAAGAGGCUUUUCAGCCUGCAGCACACAUACAGUUAAGACACUGCCACCUACUUACAAAGUAAAAUAUGAAGAAGAAAAAAAAUCUAUGAUUCUU
Erinaceus europaeus (western European hedgehog) is the source of this 143-nucleotide non-coding RNA. The record is from Rfam. Lineage: Eukaryota; Metazoa; Chordata; Mammalia; Eulipotyphla; Erinaceidae.